RNAcentral lists this ribosomal RNA (508 nucleotides) under uncultured Bacteroidota bacterium. Its description in RNAcentral is "bacterial SSU rRNA". It matches the Rfam family "Bacterial small subunit ribosomal RNA", at positions 388 to 898 of the family's 1533-position model. The record is from RNAcentral. Lineage: Bacteria; Pseudomonadati; Bacteroidota.
CCAGCCAUGCCGCGUGCAGGAAGAAGGCCUUCUGGGUUGUAACUGCUUUUGCCGGGGGAUAAAAAUCCCAUGCGUGGGAUAUUGAAGGUACCCGGUGAAUAAGCCACGGCUAACUACGUGCCAGCAGCCGCGGUAAUACGUAGGUGGCAAGCGUUGUCCGGAUUUAUUGGGUUUAAAGGGUGCGUAGGCGGCCUAUUAAGUCAGUGCUGAAAUAUCCCGGCUUAACCGGGAGGGUGGCAUUGAUACUGAUGGGCUUGAGUGGAGUCGAGGUAGGCGGAAUUGACGGUGUAGCGGUGAAAUGCUUAGAUAUCGUCAAGAACACCGAUAGUGUAGACAGCUUACUAGACUUCAACUGACGCUGAGGCACGAAAGUGUGGGGAUCAAACAGGAUUAGAUACCCUGGUAGUCCACACUGUAAACGUUGAUUACUCGCUGUGUGCGAUAUACAGUACGCGGCUUAGCGAAAGCGAUAAGUAAUCCACCUGGGGAGUACGCCGGCAACGGUGAA